RNAcentral lists this non-coding RNA (30 nucleotides) under Mus musculus (house mouse). Lineage: Eukaryota; Metazoa; Chordata; Mammalia; Rodentia; Muridae. The record is from RNAcentral.
UGGUUGCUUACUUGGGCAUUACACCCUUCU